AACGAACGCUGGCGGCAUGCCUAACACAUGCAAGUCGAACGAGACCUUCGGGUCUAGUGGCGCACGGGUGCGUAACGCGUGGGAACCUGCCCUUAGGUUCGGAAUAACUCCCCGAAAGGGGUGCUAAUACCGGAUAAUGUCUUCGGACCAAAGAUUUAUCGCCUUUGGAUGGGCCCGCGUUGGAUUAGCUAGUUGGUAGGGUAAAAGCCUACCAAGGCGACGAUCCAUAGCUGGUCUGAGAGGAUGAUCAGCCACACUGGGGCUGAGACAAGGCCCAGACGAAGGGGGGGAGCAGCGGUGGAGAAUAGGGAGCAGGGAGGGAAAGUGGGGUGAAGGAGUGGGGGGUUGGAGACGAAGGUAGUGGGGUGAUAAACCUCGCUGGCCGGGGAUGAUAAUAACAGUGGGGGGAGAUAAGGCCCCGGCUAACUCCGUGACAGCGGCAGGGGAAAAAAGGGAAGAGCACCCGACGGACC
This 473-nucleotide ribosomal RNA is filed under the name uncultured bacterium. RNAcentral's name for it is "partial 16S ribosomal RNA". The stretch from base 21 to 298 matches the Rfam family "Bacterial small subunit ribosomal RNA", at positions 48 to 357 of the family's 1533-position model. The record is from RNAcentral.